This 542-nucleotide ribosomal RNA is filed under the name uncultured bacterium. Its description in RNAcentral is "partial 16S ribosomal RNA". It matches the Rfam family "Bacterial small subunit ribosomal RNA", at positions 355 to 889 of the family's 1533-position model. The record is from RNAcentral.
UGGGGAAUUUUGGACAAUGGGCGAAAGCCUGAUCCAGCAAUGCCGCGUGUGUGAAGAAGGCCUUCGGGUUGUAAAGCACUUUUGUCCGGAAAGAAAUCCUUGGCUCUAAUACAGUCGGGGGAUGACGGUACCGGAAGAAUAAGCACCGGCUAACUACGUGCCAGCAGCCGCGGUAAUACGUAGGGUGCAAGCGUUAAUCGGAAUUACUGGGCGUAAAGCGUGCGCAGGCGGUUUGCUAAGACCGAUGUGAAAUCCCCGGGCUCAACCUGGGAACUGCAUUGGUGACUGGCAGGCUAGAGUAUGGCAGAGGGGGGUAGAAUUCCACGUGUAGCAGUGAAAUGCGUAGAGAUGUGGAGGAAUACCGAUGGCGAAGGCAGCCCCCUGGGCCAAUACUGACGCUCAUGCACGAAAGCGUGGGGAGCAAACAGGAUUAGAUACCCUGGUAGUCCACGCCCUAAACGAUGUCAACUAGUUGUUGGGGAUUCAUUUCCUUAGUAACGUAGCUAACGCGUGAAGUUGACCGCCUGGGGGAGUACGGUCGC